This 260-nucleotide ribosomal RNA is filed under the name uncultured bacterium. RNAcentral describes it as "partial 16S ribosomal RNA". It matches the Rfam family "Bacterial small subunit ribosomal RNA", at positions 524 to 784 of the family's 1533-position model. The record is from RNAcentral.
UACGUAGGGUGCAAGCGUUGUCCGGAAUUAUUGGGCGUAAAGAGCUCGUAGGCGGUUUGUCGCGUCUGCUGUGAAAACUCGGGGCUCAACUCCGAGCUUGCAGGUGGGUACGGGCAGACUAGAGUGCGGUAGGGGAGACUGGAAUUCCUGGUGUAGCGGUGAAAUGCGCAGAUAUCAGGAGGAACACCGAUGGCGAAGGCAGGUCUCUGGGCAUUAACUGACGCUGAGGAGCGAAAGCGUGGGGAGCGAACGGAUAGAUA